AUUGAACGCUGGCGGCAUGCUUUACACAUGCGAGUCGAACGGUAACAGCACUUCGGUGGCUGACGAGUGGCGAACGGGUGAGUAAUACAUCGGAACGUGCCUAGUAGUGGGGGAUAACUACUCGAAAGAGUAGCUAAUACCGCAUGAGAUCUAAGGAUGAAAGCAGGGGACCUUCGGGCCUUGCGCUACUAGAGCGGCUGAUGGCAGAUUAGGUAGUUGGUGGGAUAAAAGCUUACCAAGCCGACGAUCUGUAGCUGGUCUGAGAGGACGACCAGUCACACUGGGACUGAGACACGGCCCAGACUCCUACGGGAGGCAGCAGUGGGGAAUUUUGGACAAUGGGCGCAAGCCUGAUCCAGCAAUGCCGCGUGCAGGAUGAAGGCCUUCGGGUUGUAAACUGCUUUUGUACGGAACGAAAAGCCCUCUUCUAAUACAGGAGGGUCAUGACGGUACCGUAAGAAUAAGCACCGGCUAACUACGUG
RNAcentral lists this ribosomal RNA (482 nucleotides) under uncultured bacterium. Its description in RNAcentral is "partial 16S ribosomal RNA". It matches the Rfam family "Bacterial small subunit ribosomal RNA", at positions 30 to 507 of the family's 1533-position model. The record is from RNAcentral.